CAGUAGCCACGGUAAAACGAAGGGUGCAAGCGUUACUCGGAAUUACUGGGCGUAAAGCGUGCGUAGGUGGUGGUUUAAGUCCGUUGUGAAAGCCCUGGGCUCAACCUGGGAAUUGCAGUGGAUACUGGGUCACUAGAGUGUGGUAGAGGAUAGUGGAAUUUCCGGUGUAGCAGUGAAAUGCGUAGAGAUCGGAAGGAACAUCUGUGGCGAAGGCGACUAUCUGGGCCAACACUGACACUGAGGCACGAAAGCGUGGGGAGCAAACAGGAUUAGAUACCCGCGUAGUCCCUGUCUCUUAUAC
RNAcentral lists this ribosomal RNA (301 nucleotides) under uncultured bacterium. RNAcentral's name for it is "partial 16S ribosomal RNA". It matches the Rfam family "Bacterial small subunit ribosomal RNA", at positions 509 to 807 of the family's 1533-position model. The record is from RNAcentral.